Molecule: ribosomal RNA, 303 nt
Filed under: uncultured bacterium
Lineage: Bacteria
Description: partial 16S ribosomal RNA
Rfam family: Bacterial small subunit ribosomal RNA
Source: RNAcentral
AGCAGUCGCCGCGGUAAGACAGAGGAUGCAAGCGUUAUCCGGAAUGAUUGGGCGUAAAGCGUGCGCAGGCGGUUCGUUAAGACAGAUGUGAAAUCCCCGGGCUUAACCUGGGAACUGCAUUUGUGACUGGCGGGCUAGAGUAUGGCAGAGGGGGGUAGAAUUCCACGUGUAGCAGUGAAAUGCGUAGAGAUGUGGAGGAAUACCGAUGGCGAAGGCAGCCCCCUGGGCCAAUACUGACGCUCAUGCACGAAAGCGUGGGGAGCAAACAGGAUUAGAUACCCGCGUAGUCCCUGUCUCUUAUAC